UUUGAGCAAUUGAUAUCCUUUUUUCCUCUGAAUCAUCUUGUUCCUGUUGUCUCUGUAUAUAGGUUUCAACACAUUUCACUGAUAUCCAGCCAAGUUCCUCACCAGCAGAAGUCACAGUUUGGCUCAGGACAAAAGGUUUUUCCAAGAUCACAGUUAAAUCCCUUGGCAUCUUAAAUGGUAGACAGCUACUGUCGAUGAGCCAAGAAGAACUGAAAAUGGUCUGCCCGGAAGAGGGAAGAAAAGUAUUUUCAAUGCUUGCAGGAGUUAAAUCUCCACUGUAGUAAUGGUCCUCAGCGUUAGCGUUUGCAGAUCUCCCAAACCAUUUCAUCAUUUAUUUUGAAGAGAUCAUCACUGCAUCAAUGGCACAACUCACUGAAAAUGUUAUUAGCUGCAUGGUAAUCUUCAGUCCACUAAUUUUCCAGUUAGUUUGUAAUUGCUGUGUUUAAGAAUAGUCUUCAAGAGGGCUUUAAGAUGCUUCUGUAAAUGCUGUAGCAAGUAACAUGCUUACCAUUUUUGAAUGAUCUCAGGAACAUCUGUAAAGGGCUGUUAUUACAGUGGUGACAUGCUCUUCUAUUAUUGGACUAUGGCUUUCAGGAUAGGGAUAAUA
RNAcentral lists this long non-coding RNA (607 nucleotides) under Notechis scutatus (mainland tiger snake). Its description in RNAcentral is "lncRNA (ENSNSUG00000015634.1)". The record is from RNAcentral. Lineage: Eukaryota; Metazoa; Chordata; Lepidosauria; Squamata; Elapidae.